AACGGCGGCCGUAACUAUAACGGUCCUAAGGUAGCGAAAUUCCUUGUCGGGUAAGUUCCGACCUGCACGAAUGGCGUAACGACUUGGGCGCUGUCUCGGCGAGGGGCUCGGCGAACUUGAGAUACCGGUGAAGACGCCGGUUACCCGCAGCUAGACGGAAAGACCCCGUGCACCUUUACUACAGCUUGGCAGUGAGCUUUGGCAGUGCAUGUGUAGGAUAGGUGGGAGGCACUGAAGCGGUGGCGCCAGCUGCCGUGGAGCCGUCCUUGAAAUACCACCCUUGUGCUGUUGGGGCUCUAACCUGCGGCCGUGAAUCCGGCCGAGGGACACUGUCUGGCGGGUAGUUUGACUGGGGCGGUCGCCUCCUAAAAGGUAACGGAGGCGUCCAAAGGUCUCCUCAGGCUGGACGGAAACCAGCCGUUGAGUGCAAAGGCAUAAGGAGGCUUGACUGCGAGGCCGACGGGCCGAGCAGGUGGGAAACCAGGGCUUAGUGAUCCGGUGGCUCCGUGUGGAAGGGCCAUCGCUCAACGGAUAAAAGGUACGCCGGGGAUAACAGGCUGAUCGGGCCCAAGAGUUCACAUCGACGGCCCGGUUUGGCACCUCGAUGUCGACUCAUCGCAUCCUGGGGCUGAAGUAGGUCCCAAGGGUUGGGCUGUUCGCCCAUUAAAGCGGUACGAGAGUUGGGUUCAGAACGUCGUGAGACAGUUCGGUCCCUAUCUGCUGCGGGCGUAGGAGACUUGAGGGGAGCCGUCCCCAGUACGAGAGGACCGGGAUGGACGGACCUCUGGUGUUCCGGUUGUCGCACCAGCGGCAACGCCGGGUAGCCAUGUCCGGACGGGAUAAACGCUGAAGGCAUCUAAGCGUGAAGCCCACCCCAAGAUGAGGUCUCCCGAGCCGUAAGGCUCCCGAAGGUCCCUGGUAGACUACCAGGUCGAUAGGCUGGAGGCGUAAGGGUAGAAAUGCCCUCAGCUGACCAGUACUAAUAGACCGAGCGCCUUGACCCC
This 1004-nucleotide ribosomal RNA is filed under the name Nitrospirae bacterium JdFR-87. RNAcentral's name for it is "bacterial LSU rRNA". It matches the Rfam family "Bacterial large subunit ribosomal RNA", at positions 1926 to 2925 of the family's 2925-position model. Lineage: Bacteria; Pseudomonadati; Nitrospirota. The record is from RNAcentral.